Long non-coding RNA from Aplysia californica (California sea hare), 564 nucleotides. RefSeq lists it as uncharacterized. The transcript has 3 exons. The record is from RefSeq and is a predicted model, not a curated record. NCBI's taxonomy places the organism in Eukaryota, Metazoa, Mollusca, Gastropoda, Aplysiida, Aplysiidae.
AUGUAAGCUCACAAGGGAACGUUGUGGCUCGCCACCUGACCAUCUCAUUUUGUGGAUUUAACAGUUCGUAAACAAAGCCGCAGACAUGAAGACCUCAACAGUAUUGGCUGUCGCCCUUGUAUGCAUGUCUGUGAUGAAGCUUUUCUGUUCGGCGACAACAUGGCGUGGCUCCUGUUCAGCAAUCCUAACUUCUUGAGGUUCCUUACCGGGGUUGGCGGCGGAAGUGGUAGCUUGCCCUUAUGGCUCCUUGCAUCCAGUAUGGGUGACAACAUGAAACACAUGGGCCAAGGUAUGCUUCUGUCUUCAUUAUUGCCACCCGGUGCACGGUCCGGGGCUGGCGCUGCAUAAGAGAAGAGAAAGUGUUGCGGUUUCCCGGAACAGAUGGGAGUGUCCACAAAACACGAACACAAACACAAAACUUGGCGAGGAGUCCUCUUUGAUUCCACUGACAGCCUCGGAAGGGACACCAGUGAAUGCAGCAGGCUGGGUUUUUUUUCCUUCAGUUAUUUUUUAACUUUUUUUUUCUUUUUGACUUCUAUUAAACUGUUUAUGCAUGUUUACAAA